Molecule: unclassified non-coding RNA, 400 nt
Filed under: soil metagenome
Description: partial contains 5.8S ribosomal RNA, internal transcribed spacer 2, and large subunit ribosomal RNA
Rfam family: 5.8S ribosomal RNA (bases 1-120)
Source: RNAcentral
GAUGAAGAACGUAGUGAAAUGCGAUACUUGGUGUGAAUUGCAGAAUCCCGUGAACCAUCGAGUCUUUGAACGCAAGUUGCGCCCGAAGCCUCGGCUAAGGGCACGUCUGCCUGGGCGUCACGCAUCGCGUCUCCCCCAAACCGCCAAGGCGGAGGGGAAGGAAGAUGGCUUCCCGUGCCUCACCCGGGCGCGGUUGGCCUAAAUUUGGAGCCCGCGGCACUUAGCUCUCGCGGCGAUAGGUGGUGAACAAGGCCUUGGCCGUGCAAACAACCCGCUGCGAAGCUCUAUGUCACGUGCGCUCGUCGGACCCUUUGAAGUUGCCUUUGGUGACUUAAAACCUUUGCGACCCCAGGUCAGGCGGGGCUACCCGCUGAAUUUAAGCAUAUCAAUAAGCGGAGGA